Molecule: non-coding RNA, 437 nt
Organism: Xyrichtys novacula (pearly razorfish)
Lineage: Eukaryota; Metazoa; Chordata; Actinopteri; Labriformes; Labridae
Source: the annotation of a GenBank genome assembly
UACAGUCAUGUGUCAUCAGCAUAAAAGAGGAAAACGACUCCACAUGAUCUAAGAAGAACCUUCAGGGGAAGCAUAUGCAAAGAGAAGACUAUGGGACCAAGUCUAGCGCCUUGGGGGACUCCACUUUAGAGAGCGGUUUAUCAGGAUGUGAAGGAGGAAAAAACUAUCUGUUUGCAGCCCGAUGUGAUGCAAAUGCAAGACUGCAUGGUCAGGUAUAGACUGACAGAUCUGUGAUCUUUUUCCACAUAUUAGCUUAGAUUUAUUUCUAAGAUGCCUGUUUUUAUAGUUUCUAUCUGUAUUGUUGUUGAUAUGCUCUGUGUGUUUUAUUCCCAUUAUUGAUGUUUGUUUUGAUUUUAUGUAUUGACACCAACCUGCCAAUAGGACUUGGAAUGGAAAUUAGCUGAUGGCUAUAGUCAAGAUGGCCGCCCCUACAGGAG